This 71-nucleotide transfer RNA is filed under the name Loxodonta africana (African savanna elephant). It matches the Rfam family "tRNA". Rfam says of the family: Transfer RNA (tRNA) molecules are approximately 80 nucleotides in length. Their secondary structure includes four short double-helical elements and three loops (D, anti-codon, and T loops). The record is from Rfam by way of RNAcentral. Lineage: Eukaryota; Metazoa; Chordata; Mammalia; Proboscidea; Elephantidae.
GCAUAGGUAGUUCAGUGGUAGCAUUCUUGCCUUCCAUGCCGGAGACAUGGGUUAAAAUCCCACCCAAGGUA